This 254-nucleotide ribosomal RNA is filed under the name uncultured bacterium. Its description in RNAcentral is "partial 16S ribosomal RNA". It matches the Rfam family "Bacterial small subunit ribosomal RNA", at positions 524 to 776 of the family's 1533-position model. The record is from RNAcentral.
UACGUAGGGUGCGAGCGUUAAUCGGAAUUACUGGGCGUAAAGCGUGCGCAGGCGGUGAUGUAAGACAGUUGUGAAAUCCCCGGGCUCAACCUGGGAACUGCAUCUGUGACUGCAUCGCUGGAGUGCGGCAGAGGGGGAUGGAAUUCCGCGUGUAGCAGUGAAAUGCGUAGAUAUCGUUGGGAACACCGAAAGCGAAGGCAGAGCACUGGGUGCCACCUGACACUGCUAGGACGAAAGCGUGGGGAGCGAAUGGG